UUCGUGAGAGACACACACACAGAGAGAGAGAGAGAGAGGCAGAGACACAGGCAGAGGGAGAAGCAGAGAGAGAGAGAGAGAGAGAGAGAGGCAGAGACACAGGCAGAGGGAGAAGCAGGCUCCACACAGGGAGCCCUACAUAAGGCUAGAUCCCCGGUCUCCAAGAUCAGGCCCUGGACUGAAGGCGGCGCUAAACCACUGAGCCACUGGGGCUGCCCCUAGGGGAGGUCUUUUUUAAAAACUUCUAUGUGGAAAGGAAUUAGGAUAGUCAAUGAAUGCGACAGUUAUCACUUAUUAUUGUUCCUCUGUGGCCCUUCAUAAAUCCUUGUGCAUAAAUAGGUAAGCCUAUCUUGCUGAUGACCUUAGUUUAGCUCUCUUCUUACAAAUAAAAAAGAAUAGUUCCCUCUUUUCUCCAACACCAGGCAAACUGUGAUGCUCAGUGUCCUCACUGGUGGUUGAUUUAUUUCCAUGAUCCAGAUUUCUUAGCCACCUAGCUAAGUAUCUCAAGAGCCAUUUGGAAAGAUUUGAAGCUUAAAACAUGUAAAUAGAGAAAUGACAGUUUAAAAGGUCCCUAAGUAUUAUAUAGAUUCAAUGUAAUCCCAAUCAAAAUGCUAGUGCUGUGUAUGUGUACAGUAUAGCUUGACAAACUGACUUGAAAACUCACAUGGAACUGUAAAGAAAAGCCAAGAUACUCUUCAAUAAGGAAAACAAGAUAGGGAGGUUCUUUCCCUGCAACAGGGCUUUUAAAGCUAUGGUAGUUAACCCAGUGUGGUAUUGGCACGAGGGCAGACAAAUAAACUAAUGAGACAGAACAGACCCCCUAGAAUCAGAUCUGUACAUAGAUGAUCCAUAACACAGUUAUUUUUGAAGAUCAGCGAGAAAAGGGUAGACUUUUCUAUAAGAUAGUGUUUCAUUAGACAAAAAAAAAAAAAAAAAACAAAUGAAAUUAGAGUCCUACCUUAGACCAUUUACAAAAAUUAAAUCAGGGUUAAUGUGAAAAGCAAACCUAUAUAACAUUUAGAAGACAAUGUAGGAAAAUAUUUUAUACCUUAUAGUAGGAAAAGGUUACUUAAAUAUAACACCAAAAAAACCCCAUAAACUCAAAGGAAAAGAUUGUCUACAUUAGAUAUUUGCAAGCAUGUAGCCAACAAAACAUGAGUAUGCAGAAUAUAUAACGAAAUCCUAAAAUUCCUCCGCAAUACUGUACUCCAGGCCUCUCUGGCUUCCUUGCUUUUUGUUACACACAAAAAGCUGGCACAUGCUCUGGCCUCAGAGUCCUUACAUUGGCUGUUUUCUUUGUGUGGAAUGACAUUCUCCCAGAUAUUUUCCUGGCUAAUGCCUCACCUCUUUUAAGUCUUUACUCAAAUGUCUGUAUCAUGUAUAUGAUAUAUAUCUGUAUACUCUAUCUAAAAUUGUACCCCCAUACACAUAAUUGUGGCAGUCCCUAUUUUUCCUUUUAACCCUUGUCACUAUUUAUUUAUAACAAAUAUAUUAUAUAUAAUAUUUAUUAUAUUAUUUAAAAUAUUUAUUUAUUUAUUUAUUUAUUUAUUUAUUUAUUUAUUUUAGUUAUUUGACGGAGAGAGAGUGCACAUGUGCGCACACGAGCAGGGAGAGUGACAGGCAGACGGAGAGGAAGAAGCAGGCUUCCCACUGAGCAGUGAGCCUGACAUGGGGCCUGAUCACAAGAUCCUGGGAUCACAAUCUGACCUGAAGGUAGAUGCCUAACCAACUGAGCCGCCACCCAGGCGUCCCUCCUUAUCACCUUUUAAUGUACUGUUUUGUUCAGUGAUGUAUCCCAAACAUGUAGAAGAGUGGCACUUGUAGAUGAUUAAUAAAAUGUGAUAAAUGAAUGAAUGAAGACAAAUUAUCCAAAAGGGAAGAGUAGACAAGAGAAAUGAACAAGAAUUUCAUGGAGGAGGUAGUACAAAUGGCCUCAAAAUAUAUAAAUACGAUUGAUCUAUUCAUUAAUUAGAAAAACAAAAAGUCGUGAUGAAUAACUAUAAUUCACCCACCAGACUGGCAAAAAUUAGCCACAAGUACCAGAAAUUGGGAGAGUAAGCAUCAACGAGAAUUAUUCCCGUGCAAGAGGUGUGACUUCCUCUAGAAAGCCAUUAGGAGAGAGUUUGGCACAACUUAGUAAAGUUGACUAUGAGCCCACCCUAGAUCCAGUAAUUCUAUUUCUAGGCACAUAUCCCAGGGAUAGUCUUAUAUAUGUGCACCUGGAGACAUACAUAAUUAUGCAAAGAAGUUCAAAAUAGCCUUGUGUGUAAUAAUAUGGACUAGAAACAACCCAAAUACUUAUCAACAGUUGGAUAGACAAAUAAAAUGUAGGAGAUUGGCACAAGGGAAUAUUAUACAACAGUGAAAAUGAAAGUGUGAAAAUAUCAUACUUAUCAACAUGAAUCAAUCUCAAAGAUGAAUCAAUGCUCAAAGGUGAGCAAAAGAAGGAAGUCACUGAAGAAUAGAGAUAAUGAGAUCCAUUUACAUAAUGGUGAAAAUGGGUGAAACAAAUGAUGUAUUAGUUAGGAUAUAUACCUAGAUGUCAAAACUAUAAAGGAAAGCAAGUGUGAGGCAUCUACAAAACUCAGUUGGCUGAGCCUCUGACUCUUAGUUCCAGCUCAAGUUGUGAUCUCAUGGAUUGGGGGAUAGAGCCUGUUCCAGCAGGGUCAAGCCUGCUGCAUCAGGUUCUGCCCUCAGCAGGGAGUCUGCUUGAAGAUUCUCUCCCUCCGCUUCUGCUGCCUGCUUGCAUGCAUACAUGGGGCGCUCUCUCUUUCUCUCUCUCUCUCUCUCAAAUAAAUAAAUAAAUCUAAAAAAGAAAGAAAAGCAAGUGAAUGACUAACUCAAAAUUCAGAUAGUGGUUGCCUCUGGGGGAGAGAAAGAGGAAUGCAAAUGGUGGGAGCUUUCAGUGGGGGCUUGUGAAGUAUUCUUGGUCUGGGUGAUUUUAUUAUUCUUUAAUCUAUACAUAUAUAUGCUC
This 2974-nucleotide long non-coding RNA is filed under the name Canis lupus familiaris (dog). Its description in RNAcentral is "lncRNA (ENSCAFG00000051258.1)". The record is from RNAcentral. Lineage: Eukaryota; Metazoa; Chordata; Mammalia; Carnivora; Canidae.